This 497-nucleotide ribosomal RNA is filed under the name uncultured bacterium. Its description in RNAcentral is "partial 16S ribosomal RNA". It matches the Rfam family "Bacterial small subunit ribosomal RNA", at positions 28 to 507 of the family's 1533-position model. The record is from RNAcentral.
GAUGAACGCUGGCGGCGUGCCUAAUACAUGCAAGUCGAGCGAACAGACGAGGAGCUUGCUCCUCUGACGUUAGCGGCGGACGGGUGAGUAACACGUGGAUAACCUACCUAUAAGACUGAGAUAACUUCGGGAAACCGGAGCUAAUACCGGAUAAUAUAUUGAACCGCAUGGUUCAAUAGUGAAAGACGGUUUUGCUGUCACUUAUAGAUGGAUCCGCGCCGCAUUAGCUAGUUGGUAAGGUAACGGCUUACCAAGGCAACGAUGCGUAGCCGACCUGAGAGGGUGAUCGGCCACACUGGAACUGAGACACGGUCCAGACUCCUACGGGAGGCAGCAGUAGGGAAUCUUCCGCAAUGGGCGAAAGCCUGACAGAGCAACGCCGCGUGAGUGAUGAAGGUCUUCGGAUCGUAAAACUCUGUUAUUAGGGAAGAACAAAUGUGUAAGUAACUAUGCACGUCUUGACGGUACCUAAUCAGAAAGCCACGGCUAACUACGUG